RNAcentral lists this ribosomal RNA (301 nucleotides) under uncultured bacterium. RNAcentral describes it as "partial 16S ribosomal RNA". It matches the Rfam family "Bacterial small subunit ribosomal RNA", at positions 509 to 807 of the family's 1533-position model. The record is from RNAcentral.
CAGCCGCCGCGGUAAUACGUAGGGUGCAAGCGUUAAUCGGAAUUACUGGGCGUAAAGCGUGCGCAGGCGGUUAUAUAAGACAGAUGUGAAAUCCCCGGGCUCAACCUGGGAACUGCAUUUGUGACUGUAUAGCUAGAGUACGGCAGAGGGGGAUGGAAUUCCGCGUGUAGCAGUGAAAUGCGUAGAUAUGCGGAGGAACACCGAUGGCGAAGGCAAUCCCCUGGGCCUGUACUGACGCUCAUGCACGAAAGCGUGGGGAGCAAACAGGAUUAGAUACCCGAGUAGUCCCUGUCUCUUAUAC